CGAGGGGUGCUGUGCUGUAACCAGACCUUGCACCUUGUGGUUGAGGCUGGGCACCAGUGGUCCUCAGGUGGCCACUUGUAUCUAAGUCACGCGUUCAUCUCGAUGAUCCAGGCAAACACUGCUGUGGAGAGGAGUCAUACAACCCUCAGAAUGAAAUCUGCUGCAACGGACUGAACCAAAGGUGAUGAACAAAACGGAGCAAUUUCUCCUACACAAAUAAUAUUUUUGGAAAAACUGAACAUUAGCUAUCUGAGAGUCUCCUCACUGAAAACAUCCUAAGUUCUUCAAAGACUCAGCAGGUGGAGGGUUAUGCAUGUUAUGCUGCGGAGGGAAGGCCUACGACCCCAGCAGUUGCCAGAUGAAGUCCGUUGCCGGGACUCUGUACGACCUGCAGGUUCAGGACAGGCUCUCAGAAGAUGCCCAGUGCUGUGGGAAUAUCCUGAUGGAGGCCGGCUCCACCUGCUGCUCCGACCCAGGACUAGACCUGCUCUCCCCUACCCAGCCAGGGUUCACCUGCUGUGGGCACCGCUACCCCAACUCCUCCCUGUGGUCUUGCUGUGUGGGGUUCCUGCACCCAAGGCUUGAACCACACACCACCAGCAUG
Oncorhynchus masou masou (cherry salmon) is the source of this 604-nucleotide long non-coding RNA. RefSeq lists it as uncharacterized. Lineage: Eukaryota; Metazoa; Chordata; Actinopteri; Salmoniformes; Salmonidae. The record is from RefSeq and is a predicted model, not a curated record. The transcript has 3 exons.